This 445-nucleotide ribosomal RNA is filed under the name uncultured bacterium. RNAcentral's name for it is "SSU rRNA". It matches the Rfam family "Bacterial small subunit ribosomal RNA", at positions 26 to 518 of the family's 1533-position model. The record is from RNAcentral.
AGAACGAACGCUGGCGGCAGGCUUAACACAUGCAAGUCGAACGCCCCGCGAGGGGAGUGGCAGACGGGUGAGUAACGCGUGGGAAUCUACCCAGAACUUCGGAACAACUGAGGGAAACUUCAGCUAAUACCGGAUACGCCCUACGGGGGAAAGAUUUAUCGGUUCUGGAUGAGCCCGCGUUGGAUUAGCUAGUUGGUGGGGUAAUGGCCUACCAAGGCGACGAUCCAUAGCUGGUCUGAGAGGAUGAUCAGCCACACUGGGACUGAGACACGGCCCAGACUCCUACGGGAGGCAGCAGUGGGGAAUAUUGGACAAUGGGCGAAAGCCUGAUCCAGCCAUGCCGCGUGAGUGAUGAAGGCCUUAGGGUUGUAAAGCUCUUUCAGUAGGGAAGAUAAUGACGGUACCUACGAGAAGAACGCCCGGCUAACUUCGUGCCAGCAGCCGC